Long non-coding RNA from Dioscorea cayenensis subsp. rotundata (Guinea yam), 170 nucleotides. RefSeq lists it as uncharacterized. The transcript has 3 exons. NCBI's taxonomy places the organism in Eukaryota, Viridiplantae, Streptophyta, Magnoliopsida, Dioscoreales, Dioscoreaceae. The record is from RefSeq and is a predicted model, not a curated record.
AGCUGGGGAGACUGUUUUAAGUACAAAACACAUUGCAUUGGCAGUUAAUGAAGAGUUGAAUUUGCACACAAGGCUCAUUGAGACCUUGGACCAACAGGUGGACGUGACAGACUCACGGCUUCAGCGGGUGCAAAAGAGACUUGCAAUUCUCAACAGGCGCACAAACCGGC